UCGUUAGGCUUUCAAGUAUUUUGAAAUUUCAAAUAACUGAAACUUGUUUUUUCCUACAAACUAUGUCAAAAGCUGUGACAAAAAUGAAACUUGUUUUUUUUUCUACAAACUAUGUCAAAAGCUAUGACAAGAAAGUAUAAAGGAUAAUAUCAUGUCAGGUAAUUUUAUUUAGUUUGUGUAUCACCCCAUGGUAACAGGGAUACAUAUUAUAUGAGGCACUGCGAGCCCGCAGUAAGCCAGAUCGGUCACACACUGCACCAGUGUUGUCUCUUUGAUUGUUGAUUGUGGUUUGCAGGAAAAACAAAAUGAGAUAUUUGGCAAUUUGUUGUCUGCUUAUGCUGGCAAUAGCACUGGCGCACGCUAUUCCGAGUCAACGGUUUCAUGGACUGAGAUCAUUGGCAAAGGCAAAAUCAGAGAAAAGGUUUGGUGGACCGAGUGCUCCACUCAACAGACUUAGGAGCUUACUGGCUAAGAGCGGCGGUCAACAGUUAAGCAAAAUGAAGAAGAGACAGCUCCAGUUUGUGAAGAUAUCUGUAGGUUCGAUUUGAUUUGGGAUUGGGCUUGGUAUCCUCAAGUUUUUCAACUGCUGUUUGACAGUUCCUUAAAUUGUACAGAGGAUAAAGUUAAGGAAAUGGAAUACCAGUUUGUAUUUGAAUAUCAUAUAGCAACAGGUAAGACUCAAUGUAAAGAAAUGUCUGCAGUAUGUAAGUAAGGGUUAUAUAGAAUUGACAGGUAGAUAUCCUUAAGAUUAUUUUGUGUAUUGUUAAAGCUGACCUUACACGUCCAUGAUAUAUACAUAUAACAUGCCGGAUGAUUUGUUAUACUACCGCACAUAAAGGCUAUCUACAAAUGGACAAAUCCAACAACUUUGUGAAACGGUACUGUGCAGUCUGACAGCCCAGUACUAAUCAAGAAUAAAGUGCUUUUUAUCUACUAACCUCUGUACCAAUACAACACUUUUAGAACAUUUCCAGUGAUUGCAUAUAAAUUGCAGCUUUCUCACAUUUACAUCUAUUGUUUUGACAAUAUCAGCUUUAUUGUUGGGAGACAACGAUUCCGUAACUGUGCAAUUUAGAGGGAAAAUUGAGAAUUGCUUGACACAGUACAUUAUUUUUUAACGUAAUGGUAAUCUGGCGCUCAUCAGUUUUAUCUUUACUUAUUUUAUCGUACACGUUUACUUUUGAAGACUCAAAUACUUGUUUACAUACCGUCUCUAUGUUAAUACAUGUUUGAAAAUCCUAUUUUAUUUGCCUUCUGCCGAAAUAAAUUAUUAUUGUGCCGAAAAACAGUACACGAGUACCUUAAUGUGUUGAUUACUCGGUGAUUUCUUUUCAAGAAAGGUGAUACACAUUUUAUAUAAAUGCAGUUGAAAUUUAAGUUGGUAACAAAUUGGAAGGGGGUUUUAUUUUGGCGCUUUUUUAAACCAUUUCGUUUUAUUCUUUUAGAGUCAACCAUCUUUUUUCAACAUUUUGUACCUAAACUGUUUGGUCGUUCAUGCUGAUUUAUACGAUCAAGUGUAGUUACACAACAACGCUUUUCCAAUCAUAACAUUCGCUCGUAUUUCCUACAAAUUGUGUAUACAGCUCUGAAUGUUAGUGGAUCCAAACAGAUUUUAAAAAUUUCGCAUAUUAAAAGUUAAAAAAAAACAGCGUAAAAACAAAACCAUCUGCCUUUAAUCUCCUUCAAGUUCGUUACCAAAACGAAAGAAAGUAUUUUGGAAAGAUAUAGAUUGCUUUAAAAAUCCAACAGCAAGUAAAUUUUAAGUAAUGUGUAAAAUACGAAGUUGGGUAAUGGGUAGAGGGGAAACGCAUAGAGGAUAUUUGUUUGUUUGUUUUGAGUAAAUAUGGCGUGUAAAAUGUGAUAGCGGUGAGUUGUAUUGCAUAUUCAAGGAAAACAAUAUUUUUCAUUUUAUUUUCUGCUGAUGUACUUCGUAAUCCACAUUUUGCAACAAUUUUAAUUAUGUGGCGUUAUUGUAAAGGAGAAGUAACCUAUGAAGAGUAAAGCGCGACUUCUCUAUGGCUGUGUUUUUGGGUGCUCUGUGCUUCCGGUAAAUCUACCCUCAUUUAUUUUUUCAAUUAUCAUCAAUUACAUGUUUUCAUUACAAUAAGAUAAGCUUAUGCCACAAGUCGGGUGUGCUAAAGGUUGUAAGACUUAUUAUGUUACCUGUGGAUAGAAAUGUAUACCAGCGUGUCUUUAAUAAAAAGGACAGUCUUAGUGAUCAGCAGUCAUUUGUCUUCACUGUCUAAUUAUGUGUUUUCACCAGUUUGGUAUAUGUAUGUGUGUUCUUUGCAGGUGAUGAAUUGGUUAGUGACAAAGACUUAAAGGCAAUGUGGGCAGAACGAAAGUCUGAUCUUAAUUUGGAAAAUUUCGAAGAAAGACUUGAACUAGAAGAACAAUGGCAGAAGGAUGCCAUGGAUAAGUUCGAAGCUAAGGGAGUCCAACCGACACCAGGUCUGCCUGAGAAAUAUGGCUGUCUUAUAAACAAAGUUUACGGUACUCUCUGGUUUUUAAAGUGUCUCGAAGCAAAUGAAUAUGAUUAUGGCUUUUGUCUUGAGCUUGUUUCGGAGAAAAAGUAACAGGAACGACUGUACAGCAAACCAUCCCAAAAUGUGACCUUUGCAUACCCCGAACGGACAAGACAAUAGAAAUACAACUCUCUCUCUCUCUCUCUCUCUCUCUCUCUCUCUCUCUCAAGCAUCAUUCCAAAACAUAUGAUCUUCUUCAUCCUCAAGGUCAGGCAAAAAGAACAAACAAACAAUAACAAAAAAAGUAUUGUCUUCAUUAAAUAUUUUAUAUACAUUUCAUGAAACAAUAUACCACAUUCAUAGAUACAAACAAGGAAAAGCGUAAAGGUCAUGUUCAUUUCCUGCAUGUGCUACAUUUAGGACUGGUUGAUAUUUUAACUUUAUUUUGUCUAAGCAUUUAGUUUCUGAGUGUUAGAAUACCAAGUUCAACACAUUGAUAACCAGUAUUCAACAAGGGUACGGAUGUUUUUCUCUGAAUAGAAUAAAAGAUUGAGUUAUAAAACAAUGAAGGAAAACAAAUUGACAUUAUUCCCAUGUAGUCGUCGAUACCAACGGAGACGCGUCAAAAAAUCUUCUUUUUUCUGUUUCUACACCUUUGCCUAUGAAUCAUCUCAUCUAAUGUAUUGUUGCAUAUCUUUCCUUCAAUAAAAAUCUUGAAAAAAUGG
Mercenaria mercenaria is the source of this 3190-nucleotide long non-coding RNA. RefSeq lists it as uncharacterized. NCBI's taxonomy places the organism in Eukaryota, Metazoa, Mollusca, Bivalvia, Venerida, Veneridae. The transcript has 11 exons. The record is from RefSeq and is a predicted model, not a curated record.